RNAcentral lists this ribosomal RNA (417 nucleotides) under Bacillus sp. SK 94. RNAcentral describes it as "bacterial SSU rRNA". It matches the Rfam family "Bacterial small subunit ribosomal RNA", at positions 263 to 658 of the family's 1533-position model. Lineage: Bacteria; Bacillati; Bacillota; Bacilli; Caryophanales; Bacillaceae. The record is from RNAcentral.
GCUCCCCAAAGGCAAGGAUGAGGUAGCCGACCUGAGAGGGUGGUUCGGCACACACUUGGGAUGAGACGGGGGGCCAGACUCUUACGGGAGGCAAGCAGUAGAGGGAAUCUUCCGCAAUGGACGAGAAGUCUGACGGAAGCAAACGACCGCGUGAGUGAUGAAAGGUUUUCGGAUCGUAAAACUCUGUUGUCAGGGAAGAACAAGUACCGGAGUAACUGCCGGUACCUUGACGGUACCUGACCAGAAAGCCACGGCUAACUACGUGCCAGCAGCCGCGGUAAUACGUAGGUGGCAAGCGUUGUCCGGAAUUAUUGGGCGUAAAGGCGCGCGCAGGCGGUUCCUUAAGUCUGAUGUGAAAGCCCCCGGCUCAACCGGGGAGGGUCAUGGAAACUGGGGAACGUGAUGCAGAAGAGAAGA